GACGAACGCUGGCGGCGUGCUUAACACAUGCAAGUCGAACGGAAAGGCCCUGCUUUUGUGGGGUGCUCGAGUGGCGAACGGGUGAGUAACACGUGAGUAACCUGCCCUUGACUUUGGGAUAACUUCAGGAAACUGGGGCUAAUACCGGAUAGGAGCUCCUGCUGCAUGGUGGGGGUUGGAAAGUUUCGGCGGUUGGGGAUGGACUCGCGGCUUAUCAGCUUGUUGGUGGGGUAGUGGCUUACCAAGGCUUUGACGGGUAGCCGGCCUGAGAGGGUGACCGGCCACAUUGGGACUGAGAUACGGCCCAGACUCCUACGGGAGGCAGCAGUGGGGUAUAUUGCACAAUGGGCGGAAGCCUGAUGCAGCAACGCCGCGUGCGGGAUGACGGCCUUCGGGUUGUAAACCGCUUUCGCCGGUGACGAAGCGUGAGUGACGGUAAUGGGUAAAGAAGCACCGGCUAACUACGUG
RNAcentral lists this ribosomal RNA (468 nucleotides) under uncultured bacterium. Its description in RNAcentral is "partial 16S ribosomal RNA". It matches the Rfam family "Bacterial small subunit ribosomal RNA", at positions 28 to 507 of the family's 1533-position model. The record is from RNAcentral.